Molecule: ribosomal RNA, 253 nt
Filed under: uncultured bacterium
Lineage: Bacteria
Description: partial 16S ribosomal RNA
Rfam family: Bacterial small subunit ribosomal RNA
Source: RNAcentral
UACGGAGGAUCCAAGCGUUAUCCGGAUUCACUGGGUUUAAAGGGUGCGUAGGUGGAAUGACAAGUCAGUGGUGAAAACCUGCAGCUUAACUGUAGAACUGCCAUUGAUACUGUUAUUCUUGAGUACAUUUGAUGUGAGUGGAAUGUGUCGUGUAGCGGUGAAAUGCUUAGAUAUGACACAGAACACCAAUUGCGAAGGCAGCUUGCUAAACAAAUAUUGACGCUGAGGCACGAAAGCGUGGGGAUCAAACAGG